Molecule: long non-coding RNA, 8313 nt
Organism: Cyprinus carpio carpio
Lineage: Eukaryota; Metazoa; Chordata; Actinopteri; Cypriniformes; Cyprinidae
Source: Ensembl
CAGAAUCCACAACUCUCAUUUCAACGACAGCGCCUACAUCUUCAGAAACAACUGCACCUUUAACAACUUCAGAAACUACAGCAUCCUCAACUACUGAAAUUCCCACAACCACAGUUGUGAGUACAGAAACCACAUCUAUUACUUCAACAGUGGUGCCUACAACUUCAGAGAGUACAACAGCAGAAACCACGACUACAGCUUCAUCAACCACAACUACAACAACGAACAAUCCAACAACAUCAACAUCUGUAACUUCUGAAUCUACAACUCUUACUUCAACAGUUACACCUACAUCUUCAGAAACAACUACACCUCUAACAACAACAGUAACUACAGCAUCCUCAACUUCUGAAAUUCCCACAACCACAGUGGUGAGUACAGAAACCACAUCUAUUACUUCAACAGUGAUGCCUACAACUUCAGAAAGUACAACAAUAGAAACCACGACUACAGUUUCAUCAACCACUCCUACAACAACAAACAAUCCAACAACAUCAACAGCUGUAGCUUCAGAAUCCACAACUCUCAUUUCAACGACAGCGCCUACAUCUUCAGAAACAACUGCACCUUUAACAACUUCAGAAACUACAGCAUCCUCAACUACUGAAAUUCCCACAACCACAGUUGUGAGUACAGAAACCACAUCUAUUACUUCAACAGUGGUGCCUACAACUUCAGAGAGUACAACAGCAGAAACCACGACUACAGCUUCAUCAACCACAACUACAACAACGAACAAUCCAACAACAUCAACAUCUGUAACUUCUGAAUCUACAACUCUUACUUCAACAGUUACACCUACAUCUUCAGAAACAACUACACCUCUAACAACAUCAGUAACUACAGCAUCCUCAACUACUGAAAUUCCCACAACCACGGUGGUGAGUUUAGAAACCACAUCUAUUACUUCAACAGUGGUGCCUACAACUUCAGAGAGUACAACAGUAGAAACCACGACUACAGCUUCAUCAUCCACUCCUACAACAACAAACGAUCCAACAACAUCAACGGCUGUAACUUCAGAAACUACAACUCUUACUUCAACAGUUAUACCUACAUCUUCAGAAACAACUACACCUCUAACAACAUCAGUAACUACAGCUUCCUCAACUACUGAAAUUCCCACAACCACGUUGUGAGUACAGAAACCACAUCUAUUACUUCAACAGUGGUGCAUACAACUUCAGAGAGUACAACAGUAGAAACCACGACUACAGCUUCAUCAACCACUCCUACAACAACAAACGAUCUAACAACAUCAACGGCUGUAACUUCAGAAUCCACAACUCUCAUUUCAACGACAGCGCCUACAUCUUCAGAAACAACUGCACCUUUAACAACUUCAGAAACUACAGCAUCCUCAACUUCUGAAAUUCCCACAACCACAGUUGUGAGUACAGAAACCACAUCUAUUACUUCAACAGUGGUGCCUACAACUUCAGAGAGUACAACAGCAGAAACCACGACUACAGCUUCAUCAACCACAACUACAACAACGAACAAUCCAACAACAUCAACAUCUGUAACUUCUGAAUCUACAACUCUUACUUCAACAGUUACACCUACAUCUUCAGAAACAACUACACCUCUAACAACAUCAGUAACUACAGCAUCCUCAACUACUGAAAUUCCCACAACCACAGUGGUGAGUUUAGAAACCACAUCUAUUACUUCAACAGUGGUGCCUACAACUUCAGAGAGUACAACAGUAGAAACCACGACUACAGCUUCAUCAACCACUCCUACAACAACAAACGAUCCAACAACAUUUACGGCUGUAACUUCAGAAACUACAACUCUUACUUCAACAGUUAUACCUACAUCUUCAGAAACAACUACACCUCUAACAACAUCAGUAACUACAGCCUCCUCAACUACUGAAUUUCCCACAACCACAGUUGUGAGUACAGAAUCCACAUCUAUUACUUCAACAGUUGUGCCUACAACUUCAGAGAGUACAACAGUAGAAUCCACGACUACAGCUUCAUCAACCACUCCUACAACAACAAACAAUCCAACAACAUCAACAGCUGUAACUUCAGAAUCCACAACUCUCACUUCAACGACAGCGCCUACAUCUUCAGAAACACCUGCACCUUUAACAACUUCAGAAACUACAGCAUCCUCAACUACUGAAAUUCCCACAACCACAGUUGUGAGUACAGAAACCACAUCUAUUACUUCAACAGUGGUGCCUACAACUUCAGAGAGUACAACAGCAGAAACCACGACUACAGCUUCAUCAACCACAACUACAACAACGAACAAUCCAACAACAUCAACAUCUGUAACUUCUGAAUCUACAACUCUUACUUCAACAGUUACACCUACAUCUUCAGAAACAACUACACCUCUAACAACAUCAGUAACUACAGCAUCCUCAACUACUGAAAUUCCCAGAACCACAGUUGUGAGUACAGAAACCACAUCUAUUACUUCAACAGUGAUGCCUACAACUUCAGAAAGUACAACAGUAGAAACCACGACUACAGCUUCAUCAACCACUCCUACAACAACAAACAAUCCAACAACAUCAACAGCUGUAACUUCAGAAUCCACAACUCUAAUUUCAACGACAGCGCCUACAUCUUCAGAAACAACUGCACCUUUAACAACUUCAGAAACUACAGCAUCCUCAACUACUGAAAUUCCGACAACCACAGUUGUGAGUACAGAAACCACAUCUAUUACUUCAACAGCGGUGCCUACAACUUCAGAGAGUACAACAGCAGAAACCACGACUACAGCUUCAUCAACCACAACUACAACAACGAACAAUCCAACAUCAACAGCUGCAACUUCAGAAUCCACAACUCUCACUUCAACAACAGUGCCUACAUCUAUAGAAACAACUGCACCUGUAACAACAUCAGUAACUACAGCAUCCUCAACUACUGAAAUUCCCACAACCACAGUUGUAAGUUCAGAAACCACAUCUGUUUCUUCAACAGUGGUGCCUACAACUUCAGAGAGUACAACAGCAGAAACCACGACUACAGUUUCAUCAACCACACCAACAACAAGGAACAAUCCAACAACAUCAACAUCUGUAACUUCUGAAUCUACAACUCUUACUUCAACAGUUAUACCUACAUCUUCAGAAACAACUACACCUCUAACAACAUCAGUAACUACAGCAUCCUCAACUACUGAAAUUCCAAAAACCACAGUGGUGAGUUUAGAAACCACAUCUAUUACUUCAACAGUUGUGCCUACAACUUCAGAGAGUACAACAGUAGAAACAACGACUACAGCUUCAUCAACCACUCCUACAACAACUAACAAUCCAACAACAUCAACAGCUGCAACUUCAGAAUCUACAGUUCUCACUUCAUCAACAGUGGCUACAUCUAUAGAAACAACUGCACCUGUAACAACAUCAGUAACUACAGCAUCCUCAACUAGUGAAAUUCCCACAACCACAGUUGUAAGUUCAGAAACCACAUCUGUUUCUUCAACAGUGGUGCCUACAACUUCAGAGAGUACAACAGCAGAAACCACGACUACAGUUUCAUCAACCACACCAACAACAACGAACAAUCCAACAACAACAACAUCUGUAACUUCUGAAUCUACAACUCUUACUUCAACAGUUAUACUUACAUCUUCAGAAACAACUACACCUCUAACAACAUCAGUAACUACAGCAUCCUCAACAACUGAAAUUCCCACAACCACAAUUGCUGGUACAGAAUCCAUAUCUACUACUUCAAUAGUGAUGCCUACAACUUCAGAGAGUACAACAGUAGAAACCACGACUACAGCUUCAUCAACUGCUCCUACAACAACAAACGAACCAACAACAUCAACAGUUGUAACUUCAGAAUCCACAAUUCUUACUACAACGACAGCACCUACAUCUUCAGAAACAACUGCACCUUUAACAACUUCAGUAACUACAGCACUCUCAACUACUGACAUUCCCACAACCACAGUUGUGAGUACAGAAACCACAUCUAUUACUUCAACAGUGGUGCCUACAACUUCAGAGAGUACAACAGCAGAAACCACGACUACAGCUUCAUCAACCACAACUACAACAACGAACAAUCCAACAACAUCAACAGCUGCAACUUCAGAAUCCACAACUCUCACUUCAACAACAGUGCCUACAUCUAUAGAAACAACUGCACCUGUAACAACAUCAGUAACUACAGCAUCCUCAACUACUGAAAUUCCCACAACCACAGUUGUAAGUUCAGAAACCACAUCUGUUUCUUCAACAGUGGUGCCUACAACUUCAGAGAGUACAACAUCAGAAACCACGACUACAGUUUCAUCAACCACACCAACAACAACGACCAAUCCAACAACAUCAACAUCUGUAACUUCUGAAUCUACAAGUCUUACUUCAACAAUUAUACCUACAUCUUCAGAAAUAACUACACCUCUAACAACAUCAGUAACUACAGCAUCCUCAACUACUGAAAUUCCCACAACCAUAGUGGUGAGUUUAGAAACCACAUCUAUUACUUCAACAGUGGUGCCUACAACUUCAGAGAGUACAACAGUAGAAACAACGACUACAGCUUCAUCAACCACUCCUACAACAACAAACAAUCCAACAACAUCAACAGCUGCAACUUCAGAAUCCACAACUCUCACUUCAACAACAGUGCCUACAUCUAUAGAAACAACUGCACCUGUAACAACAUCAGUAACUACAGCAUCCUCAACUACUGAAAUUCCCACAACCACAGUUGUGAGUUCCAAAUCCACAUCUACUACUUCAACAGUGGUGCCUACAACUUCAGAGAGUACAACAGUAGAAACCACGACUACAGCUUCAUCAACCACUCCUACAACAACAAACAAUCCAACAACAUCAACAUCUGUAACUUCUGAAUCUACAACUCUUACUUCAACAGUUAUAACUACAGCAUCCUCAACUACUGAAAUUCCCACAACCACAGUUGUGAGUACAGAAUCCACAUCUACUACUUCAGCAGUGGUGCCUACAACUUCAGAGAGUACAACAGUAGAAACCACGACUACAGCUUCAUCAACCACUCCUUCAACAACAAACAAUCCAACAACAACAACAGCUGUAGCUUCAGAAUCUACAACUCUUACUUCAACAGUUAUAACUACAGCAUCCUCAACUACUGACAUUCCCACAACCACAGUUGUGAGUACAGAAUCCACAUCUACUACUUCAACAGUGGUGCCUACAACUUCAGAGAGUACAACAGUAGAAACCACGACUACAGCUUCAUCAACCACUCCUUCAACAACAAACACUCCAACAACAACAACAGCUGUAGCUUCAGAAUCCACAACUCUCAGUUCAACAGCAUUGCCUACAUCUAUAGAAACAACUGCACCUGUAACAACAUCAGUAACUACAGCAUCCUCAACUAUUGAAAUUCCCACAACCACAGUUUUGAGUUCAGAAUCCACAUCUACUACUUCAACAGUGGUGCCUACAACUUCAGAGAGUACAACAGUAGAAACCACGACUACAGCUUCAUCAACCACUCCUACAACAACAAACAAUCCAACAAGAUCAAUAGCUGCAACUUCUGAAUCCACAACUCUCACUUCAACAACAUUGCCUACAUCUAUAGAAACAACUGCACCUGUAACAACGUCAGUAACUACAGCAUCCUCAACUACUGAAAUUCCUACAAGCACAGCUGUGAGUUCAGAAACCACAUCUGUUACUUCAACAGUGGUGCCUACAACUUCAGAGAGUACAACAGCAGAAACCACGACUACAGCUUCAUCAACCACACCUACAACAACGAGCAAUCCAACAACAUCAACAUUUGUAACUUCAGAAUCUACAACUCUAACUUCAAGAACAGUACCUACAUCUAUAGAAAAAACUGCAACUGUAACAACAUCAGUAAUUACAGCAUCCUCAACUACUGAAAUUCCCACAAGCGCAGUUCUGAGUUCAGAAGCCACAUCUAUUACUUCAACAGUGGUGCCCACAACUUCAGAGAGUACCACAGCAGAACCCACGAAUACAGCUUCAUCAACCACACUUUCAACAACAAACAAUCCAACAUCAACAGCUGUUACUUCUGAAUACACAACUAUCACUUCAACAACAGUGCCUACAACUUCAGAAAGUACAACACCAGAAACCACGACUACAGCUUCAUCAACCACUCUUACAACAACAAUCAAUCCAAUAUCAGCAGCUGUAACUUCUGAAUACACAACUAUUACUUCAACAACAGUGCCUACAUCUUCAGAAACAACUACACCUGUAACAACUUCAGUAACUACAGCAUCCUCAACUACUAAAAUUCCCACAACCACAGCUGUGAGUACAGAAACCACACCUAUUACUUCAACAGUGGUGCCCACAACUUCAGAGAGUACAACAGCAGAAACCAUGACUACAGCUUCAUCAGCGAUAUCUACGACAACAAAUAAUCCAACAUCAAAAACUGUAACUUCAGAAUCCACAACUCUCACUUCAACAACAUUGCCUACAUCUUCAGAAACAACAGCUCCUGUAACAACUUCAGUAAUGACAGCAUCCUCAACUACUGAAAUUCAGACAACCACUGCUUUGAGUACAGAAACCACACCAAUUAUUUCAACAGCGGUGCCCACUACUUCAAAGAGUACAACAGCAGAAACCAUGACUACUGUUUCAUCAACGAUAUCUACAACAACAAUCAAUCCAACAUCAAAACCUGUAACUUCAGAAUCCUCAACUCUCACUUCAACAAUAGUGCCUACAUCCUUAGAAACAACUGCACCUGUAACAAUUUUAGUAACUACAGCAUCCUCAACUGCUGAAAUUCCCACAACCACAGUUAUGAGUACAGAAACCACACCUAUUACUUCAACAGUGGUGCAUUCAACUUCAGAAAGUACAACACCAGAAACCACGACUACAGCUUCAUCAACCACACCUACAACAACAAACAUUCCAACAACAUCAACAGUUGUACCUUCAGAAUCCACAACUUUCACUUCAACAACAGUCCCUACAUCUUCAGAAACAACUGCACCUGUAACAACUUCAGUAACUAAAGCAUCCUCAACUACUGAAAUUCUCACAACCACAGUUAUGAGUACAGAAACCACACCUAUUACUUCAACAGUGGUGCCCACAACUUCAGAGAGUACAACAGCAGAAACCACAUCUACAGCUUCAUCAACCACACUUACAACAAACAAUCCAACAACAUCAACAUUUGUAACUUCAGAAUCCACAACUCUCACUUCAAAAACAGUGCCUACAUCUUCAGAAACAACUGCACCUGUAAAAACAUCAGUAACUACAGCAUCCUCAACUUCUGAAAUUCCCACAAGCACAGUUGUGAGUAAAGAAACCACACCUAUUACUUCAACAGUGGUGCCUACAACUUCAGAGAGUACAACAGCAGAAACCACGACUACAGCUUCAUCAACAAUUUCUACAACAACAAACAAUCCAACAUCAAAAGCUGUAACUUCAGCAUCCACAGCUCUCACUUCAACAACAGUCCCUACAUCUUCAGAAACAACUGCACCUGUAACAACUUCAGUAACUAAAGCAUCCUCAACUACUGAAAUUCUCACAACCACAGUUAUGAGUACAGAAACCACACCUAUUACUUCAACAGUGGUGCAUUCAACUUCAGAAAGUACAACACUAGAAACCACGACUACAGCUUCAUCAUCCACACCUGCAACAACAAACAAUCCAACAACAUCAACAGUUGUACCUUCAGAAUCCACAACUCUCACUUCAACAACAUUGCCUACAUCUUCAGAAACAACUGCACCUGUAAAAACAUCAGUAACUACAGCAUCCUUAACUUCUGAAAUUCCCACAAGCACAGUUGUGAGUAAAGAAACCACACCUAUUACUUCAACAGUGGUGCCUACAACUUCAGAGAGUACAACAGCAGAAACCACGACUACAGCUUCAUCAACAAUUUCUACAACAACAAACAAUCCAACAUCAAAAGCUGUAACUUCAGCAUCCACAGCUCUCACUUCAACAACAGUGCCUGCAUCUUCAGAAACAACUGCACCUGUAACAACUUCAGUAACUACAGCAUCCUCAACUACUGAAAUUCCUACAACCACAGUUGUGAGUACAGAAACCACACCUAUUACUUCAACAGUGGUGCAUUCAACUUCAGAAAGUACAACACUAGAAACCACGACUACAGCUUCAUCAUCCACACCUGCAACAACAAACAAUCCAACAACAUCAACAGUUAUACCUUCAGAAUCCUCAACUCUCACUUCAACAACAUUGCCUACAUCUUCAGAAACAACUGCACCUGUAACAACUUCAGUAACUAAAGCAUCCUCAACUACUGAAAUUCUCACAACCACAGUUAUGAGUACAGAAAC